UGCUUGGCCGUAAACUUCACUCACACCUUAUAACGCCAGGGAAUUACGAGCCAUGCUUAAAACCCAAAGGACUUGGCGGUGCCCCACCCAACUAGAGGAGCCUGUUCUAUAAUUGAUAAUCCCCGCUUCACCUCACCACUACUAGCCCAUCAGCCUGUAUACCUCCGUCGCAAGCUCACCACGUAAGCGCCAAACAGUCGGCUCAAUGAACCCCCUUACACACGUCAGGUCAAGGUGCAGCCAAUGUAGUGGGAAGCAAUGGGCUACAAUUUCUAUCUUAGAAUAAACGAAAAGCCGCAUGAAAAUGCUGCUUGAAGGCGGAUUUAGUAGUAAGAAGAAAAUAUAGAGUUCUUCUUAACUAGGCCCUGGGUCGCGU
RNAcentral lists this ribosomal RNA (376 nucleotides) under Platymantis corrugatus (Philippine wrinkled ground frog). Its description in RNAcentral is "partial 12S ribosomal RNA". It matches the Rfam family "Bacterial small subunit ribosomal RNA", at positions 793 to 1384 of the family's 1533-position model. The record is from RNAcentral. Lineage: Eukaryota; Metazoa; Chordata; Amphibia; Anura; Ceratobatrachidae.